AGCCAUUAUUGUAGAAUGUUGUU
This 23-nucleotide non-coding RNA is filed under the name Arabidopsis thaliana (thale cress). Lineage: Eukaryota; Viridiplantae; Streptophyta; Magnoliopsida; Brassicales; Brassicaceae. The record is from RNAcentral.